Salvia splendens (bonfire salvia) is the source of this 1435-nucleotide long non-coding RNA. RefSeq lists it as uncharacterized. Lineage: Eukaryota; Viridiplantae; Streptophyta; Magnoliopsida; Lamiales; Lamiaceae. The record is from RefSeq and is a predicted model, not a curated record. The transcript has 2 exons.
AAAAAAUUUGAAUGAAGAGACUAUUGGAAAUUAAAUUACAAGGAAAUUUAAGUUUUGAAUUACAAAUUGUUGGAAAAAUAGAAAUACAGGAGAUUGAUACAUUUGUUGUGGGGACCCUUGCCACAAUAAAGAACAAGUGACAACUAAUCCUACUCUAAGCUUUGAAAGGAGCCAACAUCAAGCUAUUAGCUAAUUCGGGACUUGGUCAAAAGCUACUCAAAGCCUGUUGCUUAGCCAAUUGCUAAACUUAGCAAUAAAACAAGUAAGUGAUGUAGUAGAUAACUCUAUUCUCUUCCUCCACAUCUUCUCGGUUUCCACCUCCACAAGGCUCCAAGGGGACAGCCUUAGUGCCUACAAAAUUUACACCAAAUGAGGAUCAAAAUAUGACUUGUAAGUAAAAGGGAAGAGUGGCACAAACCCAAAUAAGGAAAAAGAAACUAGUAGGCGAAAUAGGGCAGCCCAGGGGCUGCAUUAUAGAGCUUUAAAUUAUCCUUUUUGCCACCUUUCCAAAGUUUCACCAAAGAGGCAAAAAAAAUGACAAGUGAAGCAAGAAAGAUGAACUAUCUUCAAACCCAUAAGAGAAGAGGAAUAUUAUGCAAAUCACAAGAGAAAUCAGCAAAGAUCUCCCCUAUCCCAAGACUUUCACCAAUUUGGCAAGAAGGCUUUUUAGCUCAACUCAAAAAGAGAAGUGAGUUGUUAGCUCAAAAUAGAAAGGGGAGCUCUCCAAUGCCUUACACCAAUUUAGGCAUAGAAGCUUUAAGCUCAAAUUCAAAAGUGAAGGAAUCUUUAUCCCAAAUUAGACACAAAAUGCCAAGGAGUUUUGGCUAUAAAUACCAGCCCCACCACCAUCUCCUUCCUCACACCUCUCUAUAUUCAUAAGGCAUAAGAAGUGCAGCAAGAGAGGAAGGAAUGGCAGCGAGAUAGGAGCAGCCCCGCAACCGAAAGGAAUCACCAAGCAAGGUUGGAGGAAUUAAUGAAGGACCGCUUCCAGGAAGCUAUACCACUUGAUCAAGAAGGUCGUGGCCAUCAGGAAGCAUUUGGAGAGGAACAAGAAGGAUAAGGAUUCCAAGUUCAGGUUGAUUUUGGUGGAGAGCAGGAUUCACCGCUUGGCCCAUUAAUACAAGAAGACCAAGUAGCUUCCAUCUAUGUGGAAAUAUUAAGCCGAGAUUGAUUGCUCGGUGCACGUUUAUUAUUUGUCCCAAGGGUUUAGGAAUUCUUGGGGCUAGGUUGUAGUAUGCAUUGAGUCAACGAGUUUUGGUCAUUCAUCUAAGGUUCAUCUAAGGUUUAGGAAUCAUAUCCGUUAGGUAGUAGUUUUUAGCCGAUAUACACAAUGUACAUAUGAUACUAUAUAAUGCUUGUUUUAAGUGCUGUAAUGCACGUUUUUUGAUAUAUAAUGUACUUUUAUACUCACAAAUUUAAUUUAAGUUUGGCCUUA